Molecule: small nuclear RNA, 321 nt
Filed under: Propithecus coquereli (Coquerel's sifaka)
Lineage: Eukaryota; Metazoa; Chordata; Mammalia; Primates; Indriidae
Description: 7SK RNA (ENSPCOG00000009054.1)
Rfam family: 7SK RNA
About the family: 7SK was discovered as an abundant small nuclear RNA in the mid-70s but a possible function has only recently been suggested. Two independent studies have found that 7SK RNA binds the CDK9/cyclin T complex (known as elongation factor P-TEFb). P-TEFb activates transcription by phosphorylating the C-terminal domain of RNA polymerase II.
Source: Rfam by way of RNAcentral
GCUUGUAAGGGCGAUCUGACUGCAACAUCCGUCACCCUAUUGAUUGUCAAAGUUGAUUCAGCUGAUCUGGCUGGCCAGGUGAGUGUCCUCUUCCUCCCUCUCUGCUCCAUGUGCAUCCCUCCUGAAGCUGCAUGCUUGGUCAAAGAGGAUGACCUUCCCUGAUAGGGAGGACUGGACCGUUCUUCAGUCAAAGGUAUACGAGUAGCUGUACUCCCCUGCUAGAACCUUCAAAGAAGCUCUCAAGAUCAACAGGUGCAAAAAUAUAGUUAGAUAGAACCGUAUUCGAUAGCACGACAAAGUAACUAUAACCAAUGAUAAGUU